RNAcentral lists this ribosomal RNA (326 nucleotides) under uncultured eukaryote. Its description in RNAcentral is "partial 18S ribosomal RNA". It matches the Rfam family "Eukaryotic small subunit ribosomal RNA", at positions 1470 to 1796 of the family's 1831-position model. The record is from RNAcentral.
CCCUUAGAUGUUCUGGGCCGCACGCGUGCUACACUGACCGGCGCAACAAGCUUUUUUCCUUGGCUCGACAGGCCUGGGUAAUCUUUGAACGCCAGUCGUGAUGGGGAUAGAUUCUUGCAAUUUUUGAUCUUCAACGAGGAAUUCCUAGUAAACGCGAGUCAUCAACUCGCAUUGAUUACGUCCCUGCCCUUUGUACACACCGCCCGUCGCACCUACCGAUUGAAUGGUCCGGUGAACCCUCCGGAUCGGCCCGCGCCAACGCAAGUUGAGCAAAGGCCGAGAAGUUGGGUAAACCUUACCAUUUAGAGGAAGGUGAAGUCGUAACA